Long non-coding RNA from Biomphalaria glabrata, 7528 nucleotides. RefSeq lists it as uncharacterized. The record is from RefSeq and is a predicted model, not a curated record. The transcript has 10 exons. Lineage: Eukaryota; Metazoa; Mollusca; Gastropoda; Planorbidae.
UGGAGGGGGGGCGCCAAUAAAGUACAUUGCCCAGAGUGCACAUUUUGCUCACUACGCCUCUGCUCUGAGGCUUCGUUAUACACUGUGGCCAGACGUUUCAAGGGUCAGUGUGGAGCCCCAGCCGGUCUUAUUUUUAAAGGUGAUACACCUGAAGUAAAACGUGUUCAAUAUUUAGGGCCCCAUGGGAGGUGGAGCUUCUAACAGACUCUGUAAAGUUCUAAGAUUCUAAGUAUUAUUAGUGACGCUUUUAACCAAAAUUGAUCAAACGAUGAUUUUUAUAAAUACCAGACUGACAGAACCAUAACAACUACACAUACACAAUUAAAACAUCGGUAGUUUACGUUAUUUUUCAGGCAUAUAAUUAUUAUUAAUAAUUAUUUGUUUUUAACAGUUAUGAUUCAUGUUUAGCUUUGCAACUACGGGAAGCGUCCAGCAAUUACGUAAAAUAGCCCUUGACCAAUAGAUCGUUAUUAAUUUAUCGUAGAGUACAGCAUGUGAAAAUGAGGUCAGAGUUCUUGACAGAGCAAUUAGUCGUUUCAAAUCUGAACCCUCGACACGGCUCAAAUAUUUGCGUUGUAAGUCUGUCUCUCUCUCUCUUUCUUUGUACAAGGCAAUUACUACCAAAUAAAAAGAAAGAAAGAAAGAAAGAAAGAAAGAUAGAGAGAAAAGAGAGUAUAGGGAAACGGAGAGAGAGAGGAAGAGAGAGAGAGAGAGAGAAAUGCAGCACGUCUGGCCACCAGCUGUCAGUAGUGUGUAUUGACUGCUAGCGUCUAAAUAUAGCACUGCAGAAAAAGGGGGGAAAACUGCGUAACGGUUGCACGAGAAGCACACCAAUCCCUGCAGUGUUUUAGUAAGAUGUAGUGUGUUCAUUAAAAAAAAAAAGGAGAAAAAAAAAACUCUUGACGGACGCACACAUACACAUGAAAAGAAUAGACGGCUUGUUUCCCUUGACUGUGGUGUAAGACUCCAGUUCAUAGCCUAGCGUAUUAUUUCUUUAAAUAUGGAGUAUAUAAAUCUAAAAGAUAGUAUAUUAUUAUGAAUUAUAACAACUUUUCAUUACUAUUGACAGAAAUGUGGUUAAUUUUUAUAUUAUUAUUAUAAUGUGACGCGUAUUUUUAGUUUGGUUUUAGAAUAGAUAAAAAAAAAAAUCUGGCUAGUUUUGUCGUCGUCUGUUGCGUAGAUAAAUAAAAAAGUUUAAAUGAAAAUGGUAGUGGAACAAAUCGUUUGUUCCUCCUUGUGAACGGGAUACUGAUAAAUAAAGUAAAAUAAUAAUACUAAUAAUGGCACAUUGAUAUGUACAUAGAUCUAAAAAAAAAAAAAAGCAGUCUAUAUUUAAACAAUCCUAGAUCCAUAUUUGAAAAUUGAAGUUUAAGGAAUAAAAUCCAAUACAUUUUGAAGUGGUGUUUUGGUAUUUCACGUGCAACGUGUGCUUGGUUUUAAAAACAUGGAUUAUAUUCCUGGAUAUAUAGACCAGAUACAAAUCCAUUUAGUCUACGUAUAAAUAAGCAGUUCUUUUCACUUUUUGUGUUUGGUACAUUUUGAAUAUUCGUCGCUCAACGUAAGCAUUGAUUAUGCAGACUGAGUGAUGCAUUAUGUCUAUGUGGUUUAAAACUCCUAGCCAGAUUUUUUAGUGUAAAGACCAGAAACUGGGAAUAAUCACUGAACAAGGAAGGAGAUAUAGCAAAAUAUGAAAAAAAAAAAAGGAGGACACCUACAAGGACAUUAGGACUGAACACUGACAUCAAGCGGGACAACUAGCAAUGGUUAUAUUACAUGUGAGAAUCACCAUGACAACAGACUUAAAGCAGACGUCUAGUUGGAACACGAGGAUAUUCAUUUUGACCAGGAAAAAAAAAAGUCUUAACUAUCAGGCUCCAAAUGUUUGUCCGUAGCAGUAACAGGUGAUAUAGAAAUGGAGCUUCAUGCAUAGACGUAUCCUACAGUAAAAUGUCCUACAUAUGUCCUGCAUUAAAAUAUCCUAUUUUGAAGUGUUCUUCAUUGAAAUGCCCUACACAAGUGUCCAAUAUUGAAGUGUCCUGCAUUGAAAUGUCCUACACUGAAGUGUCCUAUAUUACAUAUUCCCAGUUGGAAUGUCCUACAUUGAAGCGUCAUACGCCUUCACGACUAUAUUAAAUGACGAAGGUACAGGUGACUGCAGCAGUGAGAAAUCUAAAAUCGAAAAGUUAUACAAAAAAAAAACCCAACAAAACAAAGCCACCGGAAGUGAUCAAAGGGAAGGCACACAUCUCCAAGCAACAAGACGUUGAGGUAUCCCCUAGAUAAGUCUUUGAGAAAUAAAGGUGCAUACUAUGGUUGAAUACCAACCAAAGCAGACGAUGCAUUAAAAAGGAUAAUCACACUAAACAAUGAAACAAACUGUGACAGUAGAGCUAGUGGCCACAUUACAGAAACACAAUUGCAGUCUCGCUGGCUUUAUGCUGUAUUCUCAUUGGCAUGGAGAUCCACACUCCGCAUUUUUUAGUUGAUUCUUCGUCUUCGUAUUUCUGGAUCCUAACGGAGGAUGAACUCUUUAACUCAAAAAGUUUAUUUAAAAAAAAAAAAAAGAAAAGAAACAGACAACCCAAGACAGAAAGAACCACCUGACGGUGUAAAGCCUGGCUGUCAGACACGUGGUGACGGCUAUCUCAGGUUUACUAGAUGUAUUUCAUGACAGAACAGAUUGCUUGAAGAACAUAGAGGCACUUUACAGCUUACGCCAGACAUAUCACUUGACCAUAGCAAACUUGCCUCUGGGCUCACAUCAGAUUAGCACUGGGAACAUAAGGGAGAUAAUAAAUGUUUUCUUUCUCAUGGAGAGGCCUCAAGCAAUGGAUACAUGAGAAACAAGGGAGACUAACAAAUGUCUGCACACCUACACUGGACAGAAACAACUAAAGCAAUCCUAUUGGAUUAUCGAUUGGACUAAAUUGUGGACCCUUCAGUCAAAGUGAUAAGGUCAUUGCUGUGUUUUUUUUCUUUCUUUUUCUUUACAUUGUAGCGGGGCUAAUGUUCAAUGAUUGGGUGCAGUUUGUGCUUAAAUAAUCAAAUGUCAUUGGUUUGUGUAGACACGCUCAACUGGUCAUCAGUACAAAGCUACGGCGUGCUGUACUAAACACUUUAAUAGCAAAAAAAAACACAAAAAAACACAGAUACCAUCCAUUAUAUAUCUAUAUUAAAUAAGCUAUUAGAUCUAGUCUACGACCACGUUUCAAGAGAAAAAAAAAAAGGAAUUAUCUACUAGAUAUCCCCACACAAGUCAUUUUUUCAGUUCUGUUUUGAUUGGGUUUUUAUAAUCACUUUUUUUUUAUCACAAGUGAAAUGAGCUUCUUCCCAAUGAGAACAGACUAGGGAUGAAACACUUUCGGCUCUUACAACAAUGAGGCCUUAAGAAGUUUUCUUCAUCUGACCAAGAAACGGGGGGAAAAAGUGGGAAAAUGGCACUUUCUAAAUAUGGGAAAUUUGUGCAUGUCAGAACGCGCGGUGGGUGAAUAUUAAGCGCUUGGCUUUCGCACUUUAAGGGGGGGGGGGAGUGUCCUUUACAUCAUCUGCCCUAUAGACCGCAUGGUCUAAAAGAGAACUUUAUUUUUUUACUUUUCAAUGCAUGUCCGUGAAAAGGUUUUAAGUAAAAAAAAGGUAUUGAAUGGUGAAUGUAAAUAUCAAGUAUGGCCCAAGCCAGUCCAAGCAUGGACGUGGUCAAUGUAUUCCUGUGUUCUUGAUCAUAAGAAGAACAGUUAAGACAUUCACCCUUUUCCAUUCCAUACAAACAUAUUUUUGUUUCCCUUCAAUCGUUUCGGGACGGCUGCCAAUGAAGUCCUACUGACACCUUACGAAAUCUGCAGCAUGAAAGUGUCGCAGAGGAGAACUGGUUGGAAACGAAACACGUUCUCUCUAUCAAAUACCACUUAUUAGCAAUCACAUUAACAAUUGAAAUGGUGACAAACAAUUUCUUUUCAUGAACAAAACAGGCGACAAUAACACCACAUUUAUUCCAUUCCUCUUUUGUCAGCUGGCGGAUGGGUUUGAGUCCACACCAAAACAUGAAAACUAAAAAAAAAAAAAAGUUACAGGGGAAGCAGAGACAGCACCACAAGAUCCUCACACUGUACGUGUUGGUUGUCAACCCAAUGACUUAUGGGCAAAUGUAGACAUACACUAGACAUGAACCAAGUGUAAAGAAAAUACACAGCUAGUGACUACAUGUAAAAACGAGAAAGAGCUACAAUACAGGAAGGGAAAUAAUACCACCAUACGUUUAGAACGACACAGAUUCAGGAAGUGUUCUAAGGAAUGUCUGUAAAAAUGUACUAGGAUAGAAAACGAAAAUUGUUUUCAGCCCUGACUCCGAUGCUUACGCCACGAGAACCACUGGAGAGCAGAGCCAGUUUUGUCGAGCCAGACAGACUUGGACUGGAACUAAUGGGAUUUCCCUAAUGAGAAGAAACAGUUCUUAUCGCGUACAACUUGUUUUGCUGGCUAAGCAGAAGAGAAAAUGUUGCGCCUGUGAUACGUUUGACACAGUGUCCAAGAAUGAAACGUGAACUUAGUCAAGCCACUCACAGAUGCACCGCUUGAUAACUUGACUUUACUUGGGGAAGGGGGGGGCGUGAACUGGCAGCAGCAGGCAACGCGCGCCGCUCACGAUCCGCGGGCACAACUGAAGGGGUAAUGAGUUAUUAUCUGUCCUGGCAGGGGCGCGACUCGGUGUCACAAGCGUGUGUCUCCGCCUGUGUUAUCACGGUGCCAUGUUAUCAGCGCUAACUGGAAAUUGGCAGCGACGAUAGCACCGGAGGGGGGGGGGAUGAUGACGCAAGCAUCAUUUCUGAAUACAUAAAUACUCACAUACAAAAAAACAAAAAAAAAAAACAUAGCCGUGCCUGCUCUAACCCGUAGAACCGAACUUGUGCGCCUAUGGCGUCCCUUUCACAAGUUUGCAUCUAUGGGUAUGGGCCGACACGGAAAAAAAGGUUUACAUUAUUUGUUUUUGGCAGAACCAGCAUCGCUGGAGGACAGCAUUGCAGGGAAUUAACAGCUACAUCAGAUUUAUAAGAGUUUGGGAUUUUAACUUUCAUCCAGCCUUUAAAUCAAUACAAAUAUGUACUUAAAUGACUAACGGUGGCUAUUUUGUGACGAAACCACAGCACAAAACACACACAAAUAAUAUUUAUCUAAUUCAUUAGGCCAAAUUAGACACUACUUGAAAGCCGUGACUGGCCAAAGCGUAUGAAAGUGUCAGGGCCACUGGCGAAAGUCUUGACCGGUGGGAGCCUACGAUGAGAAUAUCCCGAAGUGAGGUAGUAGGUUGUAUUGUUAAGAACUACACCAUUACUGAAGAACAGUACAAUCUGCUAGCUUUCCCCGUGGUAUGAACUCGCUGCAACUCUUGGCUCGCAAGGACUAGAUCAAACUCUGUCGCCGGUAGCAUUCUGGCUAGGUGAUGCCAACUAUGACACUGGUGUCAGAAGUUUAUCUAGUCUUUUUUUUUUGUGUGUGUAACUUCCAAUUAGAAUAAGCCCAUCGUUUUGAAUGACAUAUUGAUCAAUACUUUGUUACAAGUAUGUAAGGACAUUGAUUUAAAGUAAGAAAGUAUUUCUGACUGUAUGUGUCAAAGUUAAUUCAGACUUUUGAUUGGUUAUCUUAUCCAAAUGAAUAUUUAAAAUACAUUUCUGUGGGUCAGGGCAAUUUUGAGUGGACAUUUGUAAAGAAAUGGACUGGUGAUCGAAUCACAAUUCUAAUCAGUAUUUCUAAUAGCAAGUAUACAUUAAUUGGUCGCCAUAACCUGAGACAAAUUAGUCUGCUAUAACCUAAGACAAAUUAGUCUGCUACAACUUAAGACGUCUGCUAUGACCUUAAACAAAAUUAUUUAUUUGAGAUUGAAAAUAAAAUAUUCGUUUUAUUUCUUUCCCUUUUCUUGAGGCUUAAUCUGUGUUACAAAUCAAUUUUUUUUUAAUUAUCUGUCUACUUUGCACACACCCAAGUGUUCAGUUUGUAAAAAAAAAAAAAAAUUGAGAAAGAAAUGAAACAAGCUGUAUAGAUUAAACAUUAUUAUUUAUUUUUUUUAUGUUGAUUUAAGAAGAAAUGACCUUGUAAGCAAAAAAAAAAAAAAUUCUUGUAUAAGGCCUAACAAUCUAAAACAAUCAGUGCUGCCCAAGCUUUGCAAGUCUGACGGGCCUAGCAACUGAAUGUGUCGCGAGUCAGAUCAUUGAGAUAAACAAUCAGUCUUCUGCAGCUUAAUUCUGCAGUGUGGUCCCAAGUUUCGAGGGCCGGACAGCACCGCACCACGAGUUAAAUAUGGUCAUUAGGCCUUCUGCUUUAUACGUUGUUUGGUCAUUACUAUUAAACCGUAAUCAGAAUAAUUUCUAAGCUAAAUAAUCCAUAGCAUAAAUCUGUUAUCAGCUAUAAACUCAUCCGUAUUUGUUGUUUUAUAUAUCUCCAUGUUGGGAAAAAGUAGCACUGGAUAGAACUUCAUGGAGAGAGAGCAUAAAGGAAGGGUCUCGGAUUGCAGAUACCAUACACAACAGCAGCUGCAACGGUGCCUGGAUCGCAUAUGCCCAACCUGUGAUCGCAGCUGUGUAUCAAGGUUUGGCCUCUUUAGUCACACAAGAGGUUGCAAAGGGAAAAGAUCGUCUCUCGAGACGUAAAAUGCCACAGAUGUGGGGUAGUGUGUAACUUUGGGCUUCAGAAAAGGUAGAAACUAUCUGGAAAUAGUAUAUUACAACUACACUAUAACAACAACUCACUAACAGGAGAAGGGACAAGGGCGAGUAACUGGCGCCUUAACCAGUAAGCUUCGGGCAGGAGGGGCUCGUUAGCCAUGGCUGGCUACUCACCUAAGAGAAGGAAAACUCUUAAUUCAAAACUCUGUUGCCUUACAGCUAUACCCAAUCAUGGGAAAGGCUUCGGGAGUCAACCCUGAGAAAAAAUCAGGAGCUGGCGACCCUUAGGCAGUUUGCAGCACCCAGUGCUACACUCUGGCAGAACCUGCGACGUCGCUGACUCCAAACUGUAUCGGCACUGCAGUUCCUUUGGAUACAUCAGCUGCGUGGAAGGGGGGGGGGAACUGAUGUGUGGGCGACAUCGUUCCGACCAUAACUUAUGCCCAGGCAUUCAUCUCAUUUCCAUGGGAUGAUCCAUGGUCGCUUCGCGACUGAAGGAGGCCAGUCUAUUGCAGAGACAGUACACCAUAUAUCUACCUUAACAGCCUUACUAGCAACACCCCGCAAGCGUUAUUCCAGCAAGGACAGUAUCGUAUUAUGUAGGCCAGGUGAUGAGUAGAAAAAGAGGCCAGGGUGUCACGUGACACUAAGUGGUUUGGUGUAAUUAGUAGACAAAUGAUUACAUUCCCCCAACAGGUCUAGGACUUUCUCCUUCCCACUCAUUUCUUUCUUUCACUCUUUCUAUCCCAAAACAUUUUUUUUUUGGCGUGCUCAAGUUUCUUGGGGAAAGAAUAGUUUCUAAAGUAUACAGUCUAGAGGAGCAAUGUAAAGUUUUGUUUUGUUUUCUGAUUACCAACACACUAUCUUGUCUCUCU